AGCGGGGUAGAGCAGUGGUAGCUCGUCAGGCUCAUAAUCUGAAGGUCCUGGGUUCGAAUCCCAGCCCCGCAA
Molecule: transfer RNA, 72 nt
Filed under: Candidatus Daviesbacteria bacterium RIFCSPHIGHO2_01_FULL_41_45
Lineage: Bacteria; Candidatus Daviesiibacteriota
Also listed under: 2 other names
Description: tRNA-Met
Rfam family: tRNA
About the family: Transfer RNA (tRNA) molecules are approximately 80 nucleotides in length. Their secondary structure includes four short double-helical elements and three loops (D, anti-codon, and T loops).
Source: RNAcentral